UCUCUUUUCUCUUCUUUUUUAGAUCAAGUGUAAUAGUAGGAAGAUGAUCUUCCUACUAUUAACCUUGUUUGCAAGAUGCGACAAAACAAUUUAGAAUAAUAACUAUUUAUUCAUGUUGUUAUUAUCAGAAUGUAUCAUGAUGUUAUUACAAGAUCUUACCACUCUUUUACUAUAGUAGAAUAUGAUUUUAGAAGGUAAGUCGUAUACUCCUGGAAAAUAUUCCAAUUGAGAUACUUGUUUUUGUAUGAGCAUCGAUCCCAACCAUGAAUAUAUUAAACUUUUUCAUAUUAGAAAUCAAACCUGAAUCUUUGGUGAAGUUGGAAAGGACGUUCAGUACUUGACACAAAAUUUUUAUCAGCUUUGCGGAAUAUCACUAAAUCAUCAAUAAAAAUUAUACGAGUAAGCGUCAAUUGUCUGCACGUGAGGUGAUAUUUGACAUGAUGUUAGACCUAGACCUUGUAGAGAAUAGCAAAAGAAAAGUGUUAUUGGAGCGACCUUCUGUCAGCCCAAGAUCGUUAGCUAAGAUCAGAAGAUUCAACUAAGAAGAGGAAGCUAUGAAAGAGAAGCUUUGUUAUGAAAGAAGAAUUGGAUUUUUAU
This 597-nucleotide long non-coding RNA is filed under the name Capsicum annuum. RNAcentral's name for it is "long non-coding RNA (CANN_LNC006003)". The record is from RNAcentral. Lineage: Eukaryota; Viridiplantae; Streptophyta; Magnoliopsida; Solanales; Solanaceae.